This 567-nucleotide ribosomal RNA is filed under the name uncultured bacterium. Its description in RNAcentral is "bacterial SSU rRNA". It matches the Rfam family "Bacterial small subunit ribosomal RNA", at positions 102 to 657 of the family's 1533-position model. The record is from RNAcentral.
ACGGGUGAGUAACACGUAAGGAACCUGCCUCAAGGAUUGGGAUAACUCCGAGAAAUCGGAGCUAAUACCGGAUAGUUCAUCGGACCGCAUGGUCCGUUGAUGAAAGGCGCUUCGGCGUCACCUUGAGAUGGCCUUGCGGUGCAUUAGCUAGUUGGUGGGGUAACGGCCUACCAAGGCGACGAUGCAUAGCCGACCUGAGAGGGUGAUCGGCCACACUGGGACUGAGACACGGCCCAGACUCCUACGGGAGGCAGCAGUAGGGAAUCUUCCACAAUGGACGAAAGUCUGAUGGAGCAACGCCGCGUGAGUGAUGAAGGUUUUCGGAUCGUAAAACUCUGUUGUAAGGGAAGAACACGUACGAGAGGGAAUGCUCGUACCUUGACGGUACCUUACGAGAAAGCCACGGCUAACUACGUGCCAGCAGCCGCGGUAAUACGUAGGUGGCAAGCGUUGUCCGGAAUUAUUGGGCGUAAAGCGCGCGCAGGCGGCCUUUUAAGUCUGAUGUGAAAGCCCCCGGCUCAACCGGGGAGGGCCAUUGGAAACUGGAAGGCUUGAGUACAGAAGAGA